RNAcentral lists this long non-coding RNA (252 nucleotides) under Nicotiana benthamiana. RNAcentral's name for it is "long non-coding RNA (NBEN_LNC010510)". The record is from RNAcentral. Lineage: Eukaryota; Viridiplantae; Streptophyta; Magnoliopsida; Solanales; Solanaceae.
GCGUGAGAGAUCGACCGUUGCUCCCUGAUCUUAGGGUCUUUGUUGGUUGUUCAUGGAGCUUAGGAUUUUUUUGAGGUGAAGAUGGCUGCUCCUCCUCCUGUCUCUAAUGGCUCUAGGUUUUUAGGGGCGUUUUGUUAAUGAUCUGGAGAAGAUGAAGUUCAAGAGGGAGGGGAUGUGUUUGUAUUCAUCAAUGCUUUGGAUUAGAGUGUCCAAAUGGCUGAAGGCUUUAUCUUUUGGUGGAGAUGUUUGGCU